This 1198-nucleotide long non-coding RNA is filed under the name Mytilus galloprovincialis (Mediterranean mussel). Lineage: Eukaryota; Metazoa; Mollusca; Bivalvia; Mytilida; Mytilidae. The record is from RNAcentral.
ACCAGGGCCGUAACUAGCCUCUUCAAAUAGUGAGGCAAAAUAUAUCGCCGAGCGGAGCGAGGCAAAAACAUUUGGCGAGGGGACUGGGACCGCUCAAGGCCCCCCAGAAGCUCUGAGAAAAAUAACGCAAAAUCGUGCAUUCUGAGCGUUUCCCAGACUCUUUCUGACAUUGAAACGCAAUUAAUUUUUAGCUUUCUUUCGAUAAUAUUCUGGUCUGAAAGCAAAAACAUAGAUUCAUUGUAAUUUUAGUCUUUAAGGUUUUAUGGACAACGCAAAAUUCGUAAUUCUCCUAAUCAUUAAUACCGGAUCUGUCUGUCUGUUUUAGUCUUGUAUUGUGCUUAGACUUUGGUGACAUUUUUAUGACUAGAUUGGAAUAUAGUGACAGUGCAGUAUUAUGCUUUAAAUACUAGUACUGCUUAAGUCGACACUAGGGACCAUCUUGACCCUGUUUUACGGUAUUAAUGAUUCUUUUAUUGUUGAAGACCCUCCAGCAACUUUGACCAAAUGAUUGAUCAUUAGUAUUUUUUUUAUGACUUUUUUGUGUGCGAUUAGGUUUCGUGCACAUUUACUCCAUAUUCCUUUGUUUUCUGUAAAAGGGUCUGAACAUGACGAUAAUGCAAGUUUAACACAUCAAUGGAAAUGGUCAUAUGGCAAUACAUUAUUGCUUUUUUUUCAAAUUAUUUGAUACCGUAAAAUUGGUGACCUUAGUCUAAUUUAAACCAUGCCAGCUAUCUAGUUUUAUCAACCAAAAGAAGCCAGUUGUGAAUUCUCUGAUAUCAAAUUCAAUUUUCAAUGCAGAAACGACCAUUUUUUUUUUUAUGUCUAGUAUAUUUUUAAAAUAUUUUCUCGCACAAUAUCUGGACAUCAGUGGGCAUGCAACAUUGCAUAACUACACGUUUACAAAUGACUAUUGUCAUAAAGUAGGACAAUAAAUGAGCAAAAGACAAACCCGGGACACAGAAGUUCAAACAACAGACCAUCAAUUCUGAAAACUAAAAGUAAAAAAGAAACAUGGAUCACGAAAAACAUGCAGGGGCGACACCAGAGAGUGAAGAGAACUUGCUUCUUGUUAGACACUUUCCGUGAAAACAAUUUGAAAUUAAGACAAUCUUUUGUUUCAUUUUUUUUUUUUUUUUUUUUUUUUUAAUUUCUAAGAUGAGGUAUUUGCCUCAUUUGCCUCAAUGUAGUUACGGCCCUG